RNAcentral lists this transfer RNA (70 nucleotides) under Phascolarctobacterium succinatutens. RNAcentral describes it as "tRNA-Met". It matches the Rfam family "tRNA". Rfam says of the family: Transfer RNA (tRNA) molecules are approximately 80 nucleotides in length. Their secondary structure includes four short double-helical elements and three loops (D, anti-codon, and T loops). Lineage: Bacteria; Bacillati; Bacillota; Negativicutes; Acidaminococcales; Acidaminococcaceae. The record is from RNAcentral.
CGCGGGGUGGAGCAGUUGGNNCGGGCUCAUAACCCGAAGGUCGGUGGUUCAAGUCCGCCCCCCGCAACCA